CCGGUGUUUCUUUUUUCUACCCUUUCUCCAAGGGUGGCAGAAAGGAUGCAUCCUCCCUUGUCCUCAUGACAACCCUGUGAGAGCAUUGGCCCAAGGUCACCCAGGGACCUUCAUGGCUGAGCAGGAUUUGAAUUUGGGUCUUCCUAGUCCUUGUGCUACACUUGGACUGCUAUUCCACACUAGUAUUAUGCCUAUGUUAUAAUAUUGAGUAAAGACAACAUUUGUUUGGACAUAAAUAAAGAACACAAGCAUUUUAAUUGCAGUCACGUUUAUUUGCCAUUUCUAUACACACUUCCUAGAUAAUCAAACUUUUCUGACACAUUUUAGAGAGGGGGUUCACAAUGAAACUGUCACUGUCUUUACUAAAAAAUAAAUACAAGACUUAAAGUGUUGCACAGCUCUAAAAUAUACAAAGGCUUGGAUUUAAUGUAAACUUUGAAAACAUUUUACAAAAGAAACCAUCUUUGCAACAAUUUAAAAAGUCCAUAUUUACAAAUAUUACAAAAAUACAAAAUGGAUGCAAGUCCAUAAACCAUUGUCUUUUCUGCCAGCUUGAACUGGUGCUAGUACCAAAAUAGUUACACUGUAACCUUCUUAAUUGGUUUUUAAACUUUUAAGUCAUAACCUACAGUAUUUCUCUAAAUCUGCCACAAUUGCAGCAAAUGCACUCUAUCAGUGACCUUUGGCAAAUGCAAACAUAUGCUUUAUUUGCUACAGCUAAUCCAUAUUCUCUAUGCUGCCACAAUAUUAAAAAAAGAAAAGAAAAAUGCUAUUAAAAGGAAAAAACACAAACCGCUGCAUAACUUCAAAACUCAUUUUUGUAACAGUGCAAACAACAGAACUGCAAGUUGGAAUGAUGGUAUACAAGUUAACAUAUGUGAUAUACCCUGUUUCAAGACGUGAUGUUACUUAAUUUCUCUUUGUUUUGGGCUCUGAAGAUCUACAAUUGUAGCAUUUCCCCCUCAAUUUGUUUUUGUCCCCAAAUUGAUCACCCUGAUCCAGAGCUCUGGGUAUGCUCUCACGCACACAAGCCUGUAUGUGUACAGGAUAUUCUCAUUAACUUCAAUAAAUGGGCAAAAUUCUGUGCCAAAAAAAAAAAAAAAGUGAUGGCCCUCCCCAGUGUGAAUUGAGGCAGCCCUUUGUGGGCAGCAGAACUCCAUCUGCUUACAACAAAUAGCUUGAUUGGGUUUUAUCUGUGAAUAUAUAUUUUUUGAAGUGGUCUUACAAUCCUUCUUCAUUUGGGCUUUAAUCUGAUAAAUAGAAAAUAGAAAGACUUUUUUCAUAGAUUUGAGUAAACAAAAUAAGUAUUUAUAUGAUAGUUCUGUGAGCAAUACAUAAGAAGGUGUUUCACUGCCUUCCAAUUCAAGUUGCAUCUAUUUUUAAUAUAUCUCUAUAUGUAUAUAGCUCUCUGAUAUUAAUAACAAAUCAUUUAAUGUCUUGAGUGAAAUCCACAAUGGAUGAGCUUGCCUCAGUGGAUUGUGGAUGGCACCUAAGAGAUUGACAACUUGGAGAAGCCAAUUCAGCUGUUUCUAUUACACUUUUUAGCAUAAAGUACAUGUAGCACUUUUCACAAAUGAAUUUGGCACCCUGAUCCUUAACAUUUUUUAGUACUCUAACACUAAAGCGACACAGUUGGUGCACCCAAUUCUGAGCACUCUGUUGGAGGCAUAGUCAGUUUUAGCAUUGGGCUGUAAGAGUGCUCUUGCAGUAAUCUCUUCUUAAAUUGUCUUCUUUCAUUGAAUUUUAGCUUUACUGACACUAAUCUUAACAAAAGUGAUUAAGAUGGCACUUCUGCCUCCCAUAUCAAGUUUAUGACUCUUGUUCUUAAAGGAAGAUUAUAUGCAAUAUGGAUCUUGUUAACUCACGAAUGCAUUCAAUUUCACUUGCUUUUAGACCACUUUAGAGCUUGCUUGCCUAUUAGUUGUACUUGAUAAGGCUUGCGUCUAACACUAACUUCUUUCUUUUCAACACUGCUACCAAGCAUUGUCUUUAAAACCCCGUUUUGCUGACUGGCACCCAGAUUCUGUGUUUCCUACCCCAACAUAUCUGCUUGCUCCACCUGCAUAAUAAUCUCUACCACGUGCCAGAAUAUUGCCACAGCUUGUAAUGAUGUACUGGUUUGGCAGUGCAGAUGGCCUAUCCUAAAGGUUUCUUUGCUGUGGCAGAUCUUAAAACUGGGCAAGUAAUCUCCUGUCCGCAUUACUCUUUUACACACAUGCCGCCCAUCCAUCUCAUGCCAUACUGGAGGACUAUAAGUAAGCCAAAAACAUACUUGCAUAUGUUUUUAUGUUCCCCCUGUGGAGGAUAAUUUGACUAAUGCAACUAAUUUUGAAUGUAUAUAAUUAUUUGAUUGUUUCAACCCAGAUCAAAUAAAAUGUGUCUUCCAAAACUUCUCAUUUUGUUAAAUUAAAAAACACCCCCCACUCCUUUCCAUUCCUUCUAUGUCCCUUUUAAAUUUGCUUCCGCUUGAAGCCAACAUACACAGACUAACUAAUGAUGACCAGCUUCAUUCGGCCAUUCUGCCCAUAACCCACAUUGCACACCACAUUCCUUCUCAAAACUAUCUUUUGCACACAACUGUCCAGAACUGAAAACACAUUCUAUAUUUAAUUCAUAUCCGUGGAUCACAUUUGAGAAAACUGGGCCUGGGUGUCUUAUUUAGUUUUGGAGCAUAUGGCAAUUGGAAAACUGAUGUGUAUUUUUUUUUUUUUUUUUAAAUGCUGAAUUUAUGUUGUGCAUAAGAAGGUGGGUUAUUUUUUGUAAAGAAACCCAGUUAUGGUUUGAUUCAAUAUCACUUUUUUUGUUUUCCAAGAAAAUUCAAGUAACUUCAAGUAAUUCAGCUUUUGUUUCCCUGCCUUCAUUUAUUCAAAGUAUUUGCUCUGAUUCUUUUUCCACCCCCACCCACUAUAUAUUCCUACCCUGUUAAGCAUUUCUGGUAAAACCAGGAUAGAAAGAAACUGAGCUGUAUGUGGCUGGCAUAAUGGAUCAUAGAGCUUCCCCAUUCAUAGUUUUUAGUAAGCCAUAUUAAGAAUGCAUACAUAUGCCUAUUUCUCAGCUAUUUUUUUCACAGUGUCAUUUCUCUAAAUAUUUAGGUAGCAUGAAUGUUGUCCGCACAAAGCUUCACUGAAAGGUUGUAACACAAUUGUUUUGAUAAACCAACAGCAUUUGUUGCAUGCGUAAUAAUUAUUUAUUUUAUGAACAUGAAACUAAUCCUGUUUCAAGAUCUUGGUUCUCAGGUUAUGACUAGGUUUCCCAACAGCCUAGUAGUAGUGAAUAACAAUACUAUGAAAAUAAGUACUAUUUCCUCAUACUUGUCCCCUCUUCACAGUCAUUGUCCAAAUUAAGUACCAAACAUCACAGUAAAGCAUGACAGCUUGGGGGGUUAGAAGAGGAGCGUGUGGUUUUUUUCCUGUUAAAAGUGUGCUUUUCAUCCCAAACAAUAAUUACUAUAACUUGUGGCACUACAAACUUAAUCAGUUAAAAACCUGUUCAAUUGACAUGGCUUCCCUCAAAGAACUCUGGGAUUUGCAGUUGUGUGACAGGAUUGAGCAUUUCUAAAGGUGCAUCAUGAUGAUUAAUAAGGAUUGGUUAUGUUUUUGCUUACUUUAAUAAACCUGUUUUAUUAGUUGAGGGUCUCUAAAAGAAGGGGAAUGAUGGAUUUUGCUUACGUGUUGUUGGAUGAAUGUGGAGAGAAUGAUAAUUUACUUAAUCGCAUUUUUAUCCUGUAUGCACCAGCUCCAAGGAGUUCAGGACAGCCUACAUAGAGAUCCUCACAAACAACCCCGUCACGCAAGUAAAACAAAGAUCAUGAUUUGCUCAGUGAGCUUCAUGGCUAUGCAAGGAUUUGAAUCCCCGUCUCCCUAUUCUAAGCCUGGUUCCUUCCCUAUUUUUCUACACUGGCUUACAUUAGUGACAUUGAAUACGAAACUGGUUAGUUAAGUUGGAGGAGUUAGUUAAGUUGGAGUAAAGGGGUGCAAUAUGAGUAAGAUGUAGGACAGAAUUUUACUACUGUUGCUGUUUAACCUUAAUUGGUGCAAGCCAUGCUAGGCAGUGUGCAAAUGAUGGAAUUGAUAUGAUCUUUUCCCAGUGGUCUUACAAAACUGUUCCAAAGGGCUUUAGUUUUUGUGUUUAAAUUCAGGGUAUGGCGAGUUCCAGGGGCAUAGCUAGGGGAGAGGGGGCCCAUGUUUAUCCUUCUCUCUGGCAACCCCCAGAGUGAGGGAGACAAUGAAGAAAAUAGGGAGGGAUGGAUCUAGAGGGCCCUCAGGAUCUGGGGGCCCGUGUUCUUUGAACCCUUUUGCUAAAUUAUAGCUACGCCCCUGGCGGGUUCCUAUGCAUAGAAGAAUUACAUUUAUGUUGUCUUCCCUCCUUAAGCGCCCCGUUUAUGGAACACCGUCCCCAGUGAGAUUCGCCUAACUUCAUUGCUUUGUUCUUUUAGAUGCCAGCACCCACACAUUCACAAAACUACAAUUCUCAGGAUUCCUAGGAGUGAGGGAUGAAGUCAGAAGCCACAAGAGAAAAGCUGUAUUUUAAACAGUUUGUAUUUUCAGUACCUAUCAAUGAGCCUCGACACAAGGUACAUUUCUGAAAUUUGCUUGUUUGGAACAGCAUUUUUGAAGGAAAACUAAUCAAGUAUUAUAAAAUUAAGUUGAUAUUAAUAACUUUUCAUAUUUUAUUAACAUUGGGAUUUCCUCUAAUUCAAAACCCAUGUUUGAGGCUAUAUUAUUGAAGUGGAAGUGGUAGAUAUGUAAAUUAUGUUUGAUAUGAAAAUUGUAUUCACAGAAUACAGUCAUCACUAUUAUCCUUAUUUAUUUGUUUUUGUCUUCAACAAAGCUGUUAUUUGCCACCAACCACUUAUUUUCUCAUAAUUCUAUUUACAAAUGUUUAUCAAAAAUAUGGAUAUGUACAGUACAUCUGUUUUGUUCAUUUCUUCUACAUUUUGUUUCAGUUCAUUUUAGUGUAAAAAAAUACCAAUUCCUCAAGCAAUUUUAUGUUUUUCCCUAGGGAAGCACAAUAGUGAAUGUAAUGCUUUUGAUCCUAAAUGGGUAGCUUUGGAGAGGGAGAUGUCAAUCUACAUUGAUGACAGGAAACAUGAGAAAUGGAAUGAAAGUCAACCAUUUAGUAUAUGUUUCUACUUAUAGAAAAUGUGAAGUAAUAAAUAGCUACAAAUCAUAGUCUCUCCUCCCAGCAUUUUAGCAAUCCUUAGCAUUUUCAAGCAUCAAUAUUGCCCUGCAUGGUAUUUGACUGCUACAGAAUUGGCCUCUCAUGAGCCAAGUAAAUGCAGAGUUCUCCCAUUUCACAGUCUGAAGUGUGUGCUGGCCCUUGUUCAGCCUAUGUGGAACUCUGAGAGGAUCUAUCAUCAUGAGGACUUCCAUCAGAAUUCUCAGUCUCUCCUUCUGAAAUGGCUUGCAUGGGGGUGUUAUAAAGUCUGCAGCGGACACUGUACCGGCUGCUGCUGGCUACAGGAGGUGCCCGUGAUCGUCCUACGCGUGAAGAUGCUGAUGUAGGAAAGCUUUUGGAAGAAAACCCUUCUACGUUGAUUCUUGGAGGGCAAGGAGAGAGCGGAGCAGAUGCCUCAGCCCCUGAUGAGGCUUGGAAAGACUCCUCAGUAUUCUGAAAAGUAUCCCCAAUCAGUUCUCCAGGAGAUUUGGGUGAAAUCGGACUCUUCAGUAUCUCAGUCGCUGACAUCCUAUAGCUAGAAUCAGAUCGACUACCCUUUUUCAGGAGCAGUAGUUUGAAUUCCUCAUUAGAUGUGUUGGACUUUUUGGCAUUCCUGUAAAUAAGUCCAGGAGAUCUCUGGCUGCUUGCUGGACUUGCCACACUGUUGGGAGGUGGGACAGUAGCUGCAGAUGAUGUGCUGCCAGCAGAAGACACACUGCUAGUGUUGGAUGAUUCUCUCAAUCUGUUCCUUGCAGCAACAUCUCCUGAAUCCUUCCUUCCAAGUACUUUCCUUUUUGACCUGUUAUCAAACAAAAGCCAUCAUAUUCCCAGUACAUUCAAUGUGAUAAAACCUAGCCCCAAUUUAUUAUUAAAUAAUCAAUCCCACAAGAGACUAGCAAUCAUUAUAUGUACAGCUUUCCCUAAUAAAUAUUUACUAAACUCUCAUAA
Long non-coding RNA from Hemicordylus capensis (graceful crag lizard), 6105 nucleotides. RefSeq lists it as uncharacterized. The record is from RefSeq and is a predicted model, not a curated record. NCBI's taxonomy places the organism in Eukaryota, Metazoa, Chordata, Lepidosauria, Squamata, Cordylidae. The transcript is spliced from 2 exons.